Molecule: ribosomal RNA, 253 nt
Filed under: uncultured bacterium
Lineage: Bacteria
Description: partial 16S ribosomal RNA
Rfam family: Bacterial small subunit ribosomal RNA
Source: RNAcentral
UACGAAGGGUGCUAGCGUUGUUCGGAAUUAUUGGGCGUAAAGAGCUCGUAGGCGGCCUGUUGCGUCCGCUGUGAAAUCCCGGGGCUCAACCCCGGGCCUGCAGUGGAUACGGGCUGGCUAGAGGCAGGCAGGGGAGAACGGAAUUCCUGGUGUAGCGGUGAAAUGCGCAGAUAUCAGGAGGAACACCGGUGGCGAAGGCGGUUCUCUGGGCCUGUACUGACGCUGAGGAGCGAAAGCGUGGGGAGCGAACAGG